This 73-nucleotide transfer RNA is filed under the name Cafileria marina. RNAcentral's name for it is "tRNA-His". It matches the Rfam family "tRNA". From Rfam's summary of the family: Transfer RNA (tRNA) molecules are approximately 80 nucleotides in length. Their secondary structure includes four short double-helical elements and three loops (D, anti-codon, and T loops). Further hydrogen bonds mediate the characteristic L-shaped molecular structure. tRNAs have two regions of fundamental functional importance: the anti-codon, which is responsible for specific mRNA codon recognition, and the 3' end, to which the tRNAs corresponding amino acid is attached (by aminoacyl-tRNA synthetases). tRNAs cope with the degeneracy of the genetic code in two manners: having more than one tRNA (with a specific anti-codon) for a particular amino acid; and 'wobble' base-pairing, i.e. permitting non-standard base-pairing at the 3rd anti-codon position. Lineage: Eukaryota; Bigyra; Bicosoecida. The record is from RNAcentral.
GGCGGAUAUAGCUCAAUGGUAGAGUAAUAAGUUGUGAUCUUAUUUGUUAAGGGUUCAAAUCCCUUUAUUCGCC